This 68-nucleotide transfer RNA is filed under the name Arcoscalpellum epeeum. RNAcentral's name for it is "tRNA-Gln". Lineage: Eukaryota; Metazoa; Arthropoda; Thecostraca; Scalpellidae. The record is from RNAcentral.
UAAAAACUAGUUUAUAGGAACAUCUUAAUUUGACUAAGAUAGAUUUAGUGUAAUUCUAUUGUUUUUAA